GGGAGUGAAAAAGAACCUGAAACCGUGUACGUACAAGCAGUGGGAGCACAGGUUUGCGGUGUGACUGCGUACCUUUUGUAUAAUGGGUCAGCGACUUAUAUUCUGUAGCAAGGUUAACCGAAUAGGGGAGCCGGAGGGAAACCGAGUCUUAAUUGGGCGUUAAGUUGCAGGGUAUAGACCCGAAACCCGGUGAUCUAGCCAUGGGCAGGUUGAAGGUUGGGUAACACUAACUGGAGGACCGAACCGACUAAUGUUGAAAAAUUAGCGGAUGACCUGUGGCUGGGGGUGAAAGGCCAAUCAAACCGGGAGAUAGCUGGUUCUCCCCGAAAGCUAUUUAGGUAGCGCCUCGUGAAUUCAUCUCCGGGGGUAGAGCACUGUUUCGGCUAGGGGGCCAUCCCGGCUUACCAACCCGAUGCAAACUGCGAAUACCGGAGAAUGUUAUCACGGGAGACACACGGCGGGUGCUAACGUCCGUCGUGAAGAGGGAAACAACCCAGACCGCCAGCUAAGGUCCCAAAGUCAUGGUUAAGUGGGAAACGAUGUGGGAAGGCCCAGACAGCCAGGAUGUUGGCUUAGAAGCAGCCAUCAUUUAAAGAAAGCGUAAUAGCUCACUGGUCGAGUCGGCCUGCGCGGAAGAUGUAACGGGGCUAAACCAUGCACCGAAGCUGCGGCAGCGAACGUAUCACUUAAAGCGAUUCAGCGGAUGACGAUUGACGGAGCGAAGCGACGUCAAAGCGUAUACAAAGUCGAGUCGGUUUAAGGAUACGUUCGUUGGGUAGGGGAGCGUUCUGUAAGCCUGUGAAGGU
Molecule: ribosomal RNA, 806 nt
Filed under: Salmonella enterica subsp. enterica serovar Bovismorbificans
Lineage: Bacteria; Pseudomonadati; Pseudomonadota; Gammaproteobacteria; Enterobacterales; Enterobacteriaceae
Description: partial 23S ribosomal RNA
Rfam family: Bacterial large subunit ribosomal RNA
Source: RNAcentral